CCCCCAUUUUCUCCAGACUUGCCCUCCACCCACCGUACCCCUGUGCUUGAUAAUCCAAACGAAAAUAAACCCUGGAGGCGCGAUCCCUCUCUACAAACAACCUCUCUACGGCUCCAUCAUUCGUUUUCGAAAAAGUAAGCACACUCUAAAGAAACGUCUGCACGAAGUAGCCUACGCUGUGUCUCUCCACGACGAAAAUGUUCCAGAUUUCGAAAGAGAUGGAGGGCCUCCAAGAGCACCAAAGCCAGCGGUAGAGAAGCCCUUGUCCUUCUCCGUUUAGAGCAGGUUCCUCUUCUUCGAAUCCCUUUGUGGUAUGAAUCCCAUC
Molecule: long non-coding RNA, 325 nt
Filed under: Elaeis guineensis (African oil palm)
Lineage: Eukaryota; Viridiplantae; Streptophyta; Magnoliopsida; Arecales; Arecaceae
Description: long non-coding RNA (EGUI_LNC045982)
Source: RNAcentral